This is a long non-coding RNA of Eptesicus fuscus (big brown bat), 244 nucleotides long. RefSeq lists it as uncharacterized. Lineage: Eukaryota; Metazoa; Chordata; Mammalia; Chiroptera; Vespertilionidae. The record is from RefSeq and is a predicted model, not a curated record. The transcript has 3 exons.
UCAUAAUCCAGCAAUCUUCUCUGCAUCUCUGGAAAAAACAGUGCCCAGAUUCCUUUCAGGAAUUACUGGAAAUAUGCAGUUUCUCCAUUUACCUGAUUUGCAGGAAGAAAAAUCCUUCACUUUUGGACUCUGAUAAACAAAACUGAAUCAACCACAGCCUCAGGUUGGGCUGCUACCUGGCAAAAUUCACUGAGUCCCUUACUGUUGCUCUUCGGCAAACUGCUUCUGCAUAUCUGGAGUGUAU